Molecule: non-coding RNA, 42 nt
Filed under: Plasmodium falciparum 3D7
Lineage: Eukaryota; Apicomplexa; Aconoidasida; Haemosporida; Plasmodiidae
Source: RNAcentral
GUUUUGUGCUUCAUACAUUCCACCCGAUGUGUUUUGUGCUUG